AGGGAAGGCAUUAUUGAGUGCAGCGUUGAUGAACCUGCCGGCCGGCUAAAUUAAUUAGCAAGAAAGUCUGAAACUGGCUCAAAGGUUCACCAGCACUGCACCCAAUCACGCCUUUGCU
This 118-nucleotide microRNA precursor is filed under the name Oryza sativa (Asian cultivated rice). RNAcentral describes it as "miR397b stem-loop (osa-MIR397b)". Its record names the gene osa-MIR397b. It matches the Rfam family "MIR397 microRNA precursor family". Lineage: Eukaryota; Viridiplantae; Streptophyta; Magnoliopsida; Poales; Poaceae. RNAcentral also lists the same sequence under 2 other names. The record is from miRBase by way of RNAcentral.